UGUCAGCAGCCGCGGUAAUACGUAGGGUGCAAGCGUUGUUCGGAAUUACUGGGCGUAAAGGGGGAGUAGGCGGAAAGAAAAGUCAGAUGUGAAAGCCCUGUGCUUAACGCAGGAAGAGCAUUUGAAACUAUCUAACUAGAGUGUAUUAUGGGAGCGUGGAAUUCCUAGUGUAGCGGUGAAAUGCGUAGAUAUUAGGAGGAAGACUCGUGGCGAAGGCGACGCUCUGGGGUAACACUGACGCUGAGGACCGAAAGCAUGGGGAGCAAACAGGAUUAGAUACCCUGGUAGUCCAUGCCGUAAACGAUGAGAGCUACUCGUAGGUUUCGUUGACGAAAUCUGUGGGUGAGUAAACACAUUAAGCUCUCCGCCUGGGAAGUACGGUCGCAAGAUUAAAACUCAAAGGAAUUGGCGG
RNAcentral lists this ribosomal RNA (412 nucleotides) under uncultured bacterium. RNAcentral describes it as "bacterial SSU rRNA". It matches the Rfam family "Bacterial small subunit ribosomal RNA", at positions 506 to 916 of the family's 1533-position model. The record is from RNAcentral.